GGGAGGAAUAUUGUGCAAUGGGGGGAACCCUGACACAGCGACGCCGCGUGAGUGAAGAAGGCCUUCGGGUCGUAAAGCUCUUUUCUAGGGGAUGAGGAAGGACAGUACCUUAGGAAUAAGUCUCGGCUAACUACGUGCCAGCAGCCGCGGUAAAACGUAGGAGGCGAGCGUUAUCCGGAAUCACUGGGCGUAAAGGGCAAGUAGGCGGUCUUUUAAGUCAGGCGUGACAGUGUUCGGCUCAACUGGACAAGGUCGCCUGAGACUGGGGGACUAGAGGGCAGGAGAGGGAAGCGGAAUUCCUAGUGUAGCGGUGGAAUGCUCAGAUAUUAGGAAGAACACCAGUGGCGAAGGCGGCUUUCUGGCCUGCACCUGACGCUGAAGAGCGAAAGCUAGGGGAGCGAACGGGCUUAGAAACCCGUGUAGUCC
RNAcentral lists this ribosomal RNA (426 nucleotides) under uncultured bacterium. RNAcentral's name for it is "bacterial SSU rRNA". It matches the Rfam family "Bacterial small subunit ribosomal RNA", at positions 354 to 796 of the family's 1533-position model. The record is from RNAcentral.